Long non-coding RNA from Rosa rugosa (rugosa rose), 492 nucleotides. RefSeq lists it as uncharacterized. NCBI's taxonomy places the organism in Eukaryota, Viridiplantae, Streptophyta, Magnoliopsida, Rosales, Rosaceae. The transcript has 3 exons. The record is from RefSeq and is a predicted model, not a curated record.
AAAAAAAAUUAUCCAUCAAAGUCGCGUGUAUUCCCACUUCCCAAUCUCCCACAGCACUGACAGCAGCUCACAGCCUCACACAGUCACACUACCUUUUGCCUUCUCGUAAACGAGAUUGGAGAAUUUUUAUUUGAGAGUUUUGGUGAUAGUGUCUGGGUUUAUGCAUAAUAUCGAGAUUGCUGUUGAUGCCCUUUCCAUCUGUUUCUACAGCAACAACAGAGAGAGCAUUUUCAUCUAUGACCAUCAUAAAAAACAAACUUCGAAAUAAGAUGGAAGAUGAGUUUUUUGAUGAUUUGAUGGUUCUCUACAUCGAAAAAGAAUUUGCCGAUAGCAUUGAUAAUGAUUCUGUGAUUGCUGAGUUUGAAGUGAGUGGGCCUCGGAGGGUACGAUUUAGUUAAUUUAUUGUUUUUUUACAACAAAUGUAUGCUUGUAGUUUUUAAUUUACGGGGUUUGGUUUUAUGUCCCCUCCGUUGUAUGUUUUGAUUGAAAAUA